This 73-nucleotide microRNA precursor is filed under the name Myotis lucifugus (little brown bat). Its description in RNAcentral is "mir-9193 microRNA precursor family". It matches the Rfam family "mir-9193 microRNA precursor family". Lineage: Eukaryota; Metazoa; Chordata; Mammalia; Chiroptera; Vespertilionidae. The record is from Rfam by way of RNAcentral.
CUUCAGAGGGGGGGUCCCUCAGCCCAGAUUGCGAGAGGGCACAGGCCAGGCCGAGGGACUCAACCUGUGCACA